Molecule: ribosomal RNA, 710 nt
Filed under: uncultured bacterium
Lineage: Bacteria
Description: bacterial SSU rRNA
Rfam family: Bacterial small subunit ribosomal RNA
Source: RNAcentral
AGCGGCGGACGGGUGAGUUUUAAGGGAGUAACCUGCCCUGUACACACGGAUAACAUACCGAAAGGUAUGCUAAUACGAGAUAAUAUGCUUUUAUCGCAUGGUAGAAGUAUCAAAGCUCCGGCGGUACAGGAUGGACCCGCGUCUGAUUAGCUAGUUGGUAAGGUAACGGCUUACCAAGGCGACGAUCAGUAGCCGACCUGAGAGGGUGAUCGGCCACAUUGGAACUGAGACACGGUCCAAACUCCUACGGGAGGCAGCAGUGGGGAAUAUUGCACAAUGGGCGAAAGCCUGAUGCAGCAACGCCGCGUGAGCGAUGAAGGCCUUCGGGUCGUAAAGCUCUGUCCUCAAGGAAGAUAAUGACGGUACUUGAGGAGGAAGCCCCGGCUAACUACGUGCCAGCAGCCGCGGUAAUACGUAGGGGGCUAGCGUUAUCCGGAAUUACUGGGCGUAAAGGGUGCGUAGGUGGUUUCUUAAGUCAGAGGUGAAAGGCUACGGCUCAACCGUAGUAAGCCUUUGAAACUGGGAAACUUGAGUGCAGGAGAGGAGAGUGGAAUUCCUAGUGUAGCGGUGAAAUGCGUAGAUAUUAGGAGGAACACCAGUUGCGAAGGCGGCUCUCUGGACUGUAACUGACACUGAGGCACGAAAGCGUGGGGAGCAAACAGGAUUAGAUACCCUGGUAGUCCACGCUGUAAACGAUGAGUACUAGCUGU